This 946-nucleotide long non-coding RNA is filed under the name Callithrix jacchus (white-tufted-ear marmoset). Its description in RNAcentral is "lncRNA (ENSCJAG00000067015.2)". Lineage: Eukaryota; Metazoa; Chordata; Mammalia; Primates; Cebidae. The record is from RNAcentral.
GCGAGGGAACUCAUGGCAGCCCAGGAGCGGCUGCAAACACGGCUUUUAAACUGAUGGCAAGCGGCUUUUUUCCUCUGCCUGUGCGGCUCUGAGGGAAAGGAAGCAGCAGAAGCGGGUGCUGGCCGUCAGCCCGGCCCGGCUCUUAGGCGCUACAGCAUCUCAGGGUGCAGCAUUCUCAUUUAAAACAUGGUUUAAGAAAACUUUCUGCCUUCCCUUACCACAAGUGGUCCGUUUGCACAGUUGGUUAAGGUGUAGGGCCUGCAACUGUAAGGUUGCUGGUUCAAAACCCUGGUGGAGACAGUUGCUGAAUUAGUAAAGUCUUUUGGGGAACUUGAGAAGGUGAAGACUCUGGGACUUUGUCUUUGGCACGGGAAGAAACUAAGAGUCAGUCACUCCAGCGGAAGUUCUAAGGAACUCCUUUCAUUGGCCAGGGGUCUUGGAGAAGCAAUGAAUAUCACUGACUAAAUGGAUGGAGGAGAAGAAAGAUGAUGACAAAGAACCAGUAAUGCAAAUUCAACUAUCCCUGUGUUAUAGAAGCCAGAAAAACUUAAACUGCCAGAUCUCAAGAAGCUUAGCAAAAAGUCAGAAUUUUUUAUUGUUGGAUUCAGAAAGCAUAACUGCAGAAUAAGAGUGGUGGAAGGAAAGUGUCAUUAUUCACUUCAUAAGGAGAAAACCCUGAUAACCUGACUUAUCAUCAAGAUCACUAACUCGAGGUACCCAGUGUUCACCUACUUCACAAAAAAAGACCAAAACAAGAAAAAAACAAUGGCACUUUGAGUAGAUACUCUACAAGAAAACACUGAAUUGAUCAAAGAAGACAGGAAAACCCUCUGAAGCAUGGAACCUUGAAAUCUCAGCAUAGAGAGGUAAGAAAAACACCUGGCCAGGAUUGGCUUCAAAUGCACAGGUAGCAAAAGCAAAACUAGACAAAUUAGAUUAAAUGAAA